Molecule: long non-coding RNA, 224 nt
Organism: Megalops cyprinoides (Indo-Pacific tarpon)
Lineage: Eukaryota; Metazoa; Chordata; Actinopteri; Elopiformes; Megalopidae
Exons: 3
Source: RefSeq, a predicted model, not a curated record
CAGCGACAAACGGAUCAGAGAACGCAACAGGUUACACGGAUUUAAAAGAGAUCGCAAUACAAUUAAAGGCAGAGGAUGAGUUCUGGAAAAUCGCUGCAGAGCGCCACCCACCCCAACCAACAGCCACCAACCCCAAGCUUAGCAAAGAGAAAGAAGAUAAAAGAAAAGACAGACAUCAAAAGCCCAACAGACAGUCUCAUGUCUCCAUGCACCCGAAGACUCAU